Molecule: ribosomal RNA, 644 nt
Filed under: uncultured bacterium
Lineage: Bacteria
Description: bacterial SSU rRNA
Rfam family: Bacterial small subunit ribosomal RNA
Source: RNAcentral
CAUGCAAGUCGAACGAAGUAGCAAUACUUAGUGGCAGACGGGUGAGUAACAUGUAGGUAUCUUCCCUUUGGUGAGGAAUAACACGAGGAAACUUGUGCUAAUACCUCAUAAGUCUUUACGGAGAAAGCUUUAUGCGCCGAAGGAUGAGCCUGCACUUGAUUAGUUUGUUGGUGGGGUAAUGGCCUACCAAGACUUUGAUCUAUAGCUGAUCUGAGAGGAUGAUCAGCCACAUUGGGACUGAGACACGGCCCAAACUCCUACGGGAGGCAGCAGUAGGGAAUAUUGCACAAUGGAGGAAACUCUGAUGCAGCGAUGCCGCGUGAGUGAAGAAGGCCUUUGGGUUGUAAAGCUCUUUCGUCGGGGAAGAAAAUGACUGUACCCGAAUAAGAAGGUCCGGCUAACUUCGUGCCAGCAGCCGCGGUAAUACGAAGGGACCUAGCGUAGUUCGGAAUUACUGGGCUUAAAGAGUUCGUAGGUGGUUAAAAAAGUUGGUGGUGAAAUCCCAGAGCUUAACUCUGGAACUGCCAUCAAAACUUUUUAGCUAGAGUAUGAUAGAGGAAAGCAGAAUUUCUAGUGUAGAGGUGAAAUUCGUAGAUAUUAGAAAGAAUACCAAUUGCGAAGGCAGCUUUCUGGAUCAUACUACG